RNAcentral lists this ribosomal RNA (507 nucleotides) under Alkalihalophilus pseudofirmus. Its description in RNAcentral is "bacterial SSU rRNA". It matches the Rfam family "Bacterial small subunit ribosomal RNA", at positions 366 to 865 of the family's 1533-position model. Lineage: Bacteria; Bacillati; Bacillota; Bacilli; Caryophanales; Bacillaceae. The record is from RNAcentral.
CCGCAAUGGACGAAAGUCUGACGGAGCAACGCCGCGUGAGUGAUGAAGGUUUUCGGAUCGUAAAGCUCUGUUGUUAGGGAAGAACAAGUGCCGUUUGAAUAAGGCGGCACCUUGACGGUACCUAACCAGAAAGCCACGGCUAACUACGUGCCAGCAGCCGCGGUAAUACGUAGGUGGCAAGCGUUGUCCGGAAUUAUUGGGCGUAAAGCGCGCGCAGGCGGUCUCUUAAGUCUGAUGUGAAAGCCCACGGCUCAACCGUGGAGGGUCAUUGGAAACUGGGAGACUUGAGUACAGAAGAGGAGAGUGGAAUUCCACGUGUAGCGGUGAAAUGCGUAGAUAUGUGGAGGAACACCAGUGGCGAAGGCGACUCUCUGGUCUGUAACUGACGCUGAGGCGCGAAAGCGUGGGGAGCAAACAGGAUUAGAUACCCUGGUAGUCCACGCCGUAAACGAUGAGUGCUAGGUGUUAGGGGUUUCGAUGCCCUUAGUGCCGAAGUAACACAUAAGC